Molecule: ribosomal RNA, 375 nt
Filed under: uncultured organism
Description: partial 16S ribosomal RNA
Rfam family: Bacterial small subunit ribosomal RNA
Source: RNAcentral
GGAGGGUGCAAGCGUUACCCGGAAUCAUUGGGCGUAAAGCGUCCGCAGGCGGCUUAUUAAGUCAGAUGUUAAAUCUUGGGGCCCAACUCCAAGGCUGUAUCUGAAACUGGUAAGCUAGAGUCUUUCAGGGGCAUGUGGAAUUCUGUGUGUAGGGGUAAAAUCCGUAGAUACACAGAGGAACACCAAAAGCGAAGGCAGCAUGCUGGGAAAGUACUGACGCUCAUGGACGAAAGCGUGGUUAGCGAACGGGGGAUUAGAUACCCCGGUAGUCCACGCCGUAAACUAUGGAUACUAGUUGUUGGAGGGCUCGACCCCCUUCAGUGACGACGCUAACGCAUUAAGUAUCCCGCCUGGGGGAGUACGGUCGCAAGAUUA